This 253-nucleotide ribosomal RNA is filed under the name uncultured bacterium. RNAcentral's name for it is "partial 16S ribosomal RNA". It matches the Rfam family "Bacterial small subunit ribosomal RNA", at positions 524 to 776 of the family's 1533-position model. The record is from RNAcentral.
UACGUAGGGGGCAAGCGUUGUCCGGAUUUAUUGGGCGUAAAGAGCUCGUAGGCGGUUUGGUAAGUCGGGUGUGAAAUCUCGGAGCUUAACUCCGAAACUGCAUUCGAUACUGCCGUGCUUGAGGACUGGAGAGGAGACUGGAAUUUACGGUGUAGCGGUGAAAUGCGUAGAUAUCGUAAGGAAGACCAGUGGCGAAGGCGGGUCUCUGGACAGUUCCUGACGCUGAGGCACGAAGGCCAGGGGAGCAAACGGG